AGUGAACGCUGGCGGUAGGCCUAACACAUGCAAGUCGAACGGCAGCACAGUAAGAGCUUGCUCUUACGGGUGGCGAGUGGCGGACGGGUGAGGAAUACAUCGGAAUCUACUUUUUCGUGGGGGAUAACGUAGGGAAACUUACGCUAAUACCGCAUACGACCUACGGGUGAAAGCAGGGGAUCUUCGGACCUUGCGCGAUUGGAUGAGCCGAUGUCGGAUUAGCUAGUUGGCGGGGUAAAGGCCCACCAAGGCGACGAUCCGUAGCUGGUCUGAGAGGAUGAUCAGCGACACUGGAACUGAGACACGGUCCAGACUCCUACUGGAGGCAGCAGUGGGGAAUAUUGGACAAUGGGCGCAAGCCUGAUCCAGCCAUACCGCGUGGGUGAAGAAGGCCUUCGGGUUGUAAAGCCCUUUUGUUGGGAAAGAAAAGCAGCAGGUUAAUACCCCGCUGUUCUGACGGUACCCAAAGGAUAAGCACCGGCUAACUUCGUG
This 492-nucleotide ribosomal RNA is filed under the name uncultured bacterium. RNAcentral describes it as "partial 16S ribosomal RNA". It matches the Rfam family "Bacterial small subunit ribosomal RNA", at positions 29 to 507 of the family's 1533-position model. The record is from RNAcentral.